RNAcentral lists this ribosomal RNA (261 nucleotides) under uncultured bacterium. Its description in RNAcentral is "partial 16S ribosomal RNA". It matches the Rfam family "Bacterial small subunit ribosomal RNA", at positions 92 to 354 of the family's 1533-position model. The record is from RNAcentral.
CGACCGGCGGACGGGUGCGUAACGCGUAUGUAACCUACCUUUGACAGGGGGAUAACAUCGAGAAAUUGGUACUAAUACCCCAUAACAUCACCAGAGGCAUCUUCGGUGGUUGAAAACUCAGGUGGUCAGAGAUGGACAUGCGUUGUAUUAGCUAGUUGGUGAGGUAACGGCUCACCAAGGCGACGAUACAUAGGGGGACUGAGAGGUCAACCCCCCACAUUGGUACUGAGACACGGACCAAACUCCUACGGGAGGCAGCAG